GUCACUCGCUCACAGGCGCGGGGCCCUCAUCGGGGCGAGAGCACCCCCACACACACACCGCUGCGGGCCCGGGAGUGGGAGACCCGGGGGACACGGACACUGCGCACUGUGUAUCUGCAUUAGGCAUCGACCAAGCCUCCCCCAUUGGCAGAAAUACCUGCUCUACCAUAAAGAGAAACAUUCUCCAGGCAUCAACAAGACAACUCCUUAAAAGAUAACAUUCCUUCUGGAUCUUGUAAGGGGACACAGGACCCAUCACUUUGUACUCACAGAUCUGGAUUGUGCAAACUAUCUAUGUCAUUUAAUGUACAGCCUUCUGUCUCAAAAACCUAUAUAACUGUGCUUUGACCUGUAAUGGGUGGAACGGUUCUCAGAGCUUUCUGAGAGGCUGUUCCCAGGUUAUAAUCUUCCAUUUGGCUCAAAUAAAAUUUUCCAUUUCUUUCCUA
Orcinus orca (killer whale) is the source of this 446-nucleotide long non-coding RNA. RefSeq lists it as uncharacterized. NCBI's taxonomy places the organism in Eukaryota, Metazoa, Chordata, Mammalia, Artiodactyla, Delphinidae. The transcript has 2 exons. The record is from RefSeq and is a predicted model, not a curated record.